Molecule: ribosomal RNA, 253 nt
Filed under: uncultured bacterium
Lineage: Bacteria
Description: partial 16S ribosomal RNA
Rfam family: Bacterial small subunit ribosomal RNA
Source: RNAcentral
UACGUAAGGGGCUAGCGUUAUCCGGAAUUACUGGGCGUAAAGCGCGCGUAGGCGGUUUGAUAAGUGGGAUGUGAAAGCCCCGGGCUCAACCUGGGAACUGCGCUUAAGACUGGAGGACUAGAAAACGGAAGAGGGUAGUGGAAUUCCCAGUGUAGAGGUGAAAUUCGUAGAUAUUGGGAAGAACACCAGUGGCGAAAGCGGCUACCUGGUCCGAUUUUGACGCUGAGGCGCGAAAGCGUGGGGAGCAAACAGG